UUUAUGGAGAGUUUGAUCCUGGCUCAGGAUGAACGCUGGCGGCGUGCCUAAUACAUGCAAGUCGAGCGAACGGACGAGAAGCUUGCUUCUCUGAUGUUAGCGGCGGACGGGUGAGUAACACGUGGAUAACCUACCUAUAAGACUGGGAUAACUUCGGGAAACCGGAGCUAAUACCGGAUAAUAUUUUGAACCGCAUGGUUCAAAAGUGAAAGACGGUCUUGCUGUCACUUAUAGAUGGAUCCGCGCUGCAUUAGCUAGUUGGUAAGGUAACGGCUUACCAAGGCAACGAUGCAUAGCCGACCUGAGAGGGUGAUCGGCCACACUGGAACUGAGACACGGUCCAGACUCCUACGGGAGGCAGCAGUAGGGAAUCUUCCGCAAUGGGCGAAAGCCUGACGGAGCAACGCCGCGUGAGUGAUGAAGGUCUUCGGAUCGUAAAACUCUGUUAUUAGGGAAGAACAUAUGUGUAAGUAACUGUGCACAUCUUGACGGUACCUAAUCAGAAAGCCACGGCUAACUACGUGCCAGCAGCCGCGGUAAUACGUAGGUGGCAAGCGUUAUCCGGAAUUAUUGGGCGUAAAGCGCGCGUAGGCGGUUUUUUAAGUCUGAUGUGAAAGCCCACGGCUCAACCGUGGAGGGUCAUUGGAAACUGGAAAACUUGAGUGCAGAAGAGGAAAGUGGAAUUCCAUGUGUAGCGGUGAAAUGCGCAGAGAUAUGGAGGAACACCAGUGGCGAAGGCGACUUUCUGGUCUGUAACUGACGCUGAUGUGCGAAAGCGUGGGGAUCAAACAGGAUUAGAUACCCUGGUAGUCCACGCCGUAAACGAUGAGUGCUAAGUGUUAGGGGGUUUCCGCCCCUUAGUGCUGCAGCUAACGCAUUAAGCACUCCGCCUGGGGAGUACGACCGCAAGGUUGAAACUCAAAGGAAUUGACGGGGACCCGCACAAGCGGUGGAGCAUGUGGUUUAAUUCGAAGCAACGCGAAGAACCUUACCAAAUCUUGACAUCCUUUGACAACUCUAGAGAUAGAGCCUUCCCCUUCGGGGGACAAAGUGACAG
This 1057-nucleotide ribosomal RNA is filed under the name Staphylococcus aureus. Its description in RNAcentral is "bacterial SSU rRNA". It matches the Rfam family "Bacterial small subunit ribosomal RNA", at positions 1 to 1037 of the family's 1533-position model. The record is from RNAcentral. Lineage: Bacteria; Bacillati; Bacillota; Bacilli; Caryophanales; Staphylococcaceae.